UACGGAGGGUGCGAGCGUUGUCCGGAAUCAUUGGGCGUAAAGGGCGCGUAGGUGGCCCGGUCAGUCUUUGGUGAAAGCGCGGGGCUCAACCCUGCGUCGGCCAGGGAUACUGCCGCGGCUGGAGCACUGUAGAGGCAGGCGGAAUUCCGGGUGUAGCGGUGGAAUGCGUAGAGAUCGGGAAGAACAUCGGUGGCGAAGGCGGUCUGCUGGGCCGUUGCUGACACUGAGGCGCGACAGCGUGGGGAGCAAACAGG
This 254-nucleotide ribosomal RNA is filed under the name uncultured bacterium. RNAcentral's name for it is "partial 16S ribosomal RNA". It matches the Rfam family "Bacterial small subunit ribosomal RNA", at positions 524 to 776 of the family's 1533-position model. The record is from RNAcentral.